AUUGAACGCUGGCGGCAGGCCUAACACAUGCAAGUCGAGCGAGCGGCGGACGGGUGAGUAAUGUAUGGGGAUCUGCCCGAUGGAGGGGGAUAACUACUGGAAACGGUGGCUACUACCGCAUACUAUCGGAUGAACCCAUCUGGGAUUAGCUAGUAGGUGGGGUAAAGGCUCACCUAGGCGACGAUCUCUAGCUGGCCUGAGAGGAUGAUCAGCCACACUGGGACUGAGACACGGCCCAGACUCCUACGGGAGGCAGCAGUGGGGAAUAUUGCACAAUGGGCGAAAGCCUGAUGCAGCCAUGCCGCGUGUAUGAAGAAGGCAUUCGGGUUGUAAAGUACUGUCAGCGGGGAGGCGUUACCCGCAGAAGAAGCAACGGCUAACUCCGUGCCAGCAGCCGCGGUAAUUC
Molecule: ribosomal RNA, 406 nt
Filed under: uncultured bacterium
Lineage: Bacteria
Description: partial 16S ribosomal RNA
Rfam family: Bacterial small subunit ribosomal RNA
Source: RNAcentral